This is a long non-coding RNA of Hypanus sabinus (Atlantic stingray), 3049 nucleotides long. RefSeq lists it as uncharacterized. Lineage: Eukaryota; Metazoa; Chordata; Chondrichthyes; Myliobatiformes; Dasyatidae. The transcript has 4 exons. The record is from RefSeq and is a predicted model, not a curated record.
UCACUAUGAGUGAGUGAGGACUCUGUCAGUCAAGGUGAACCGUGGAUGUUGUGACCAAGCCGUCCAGAUACCUGAGCAGUACGAGAGAGCAAGUUCUCUCUCUCCACGCGUCCGAUAAACCUCAAGGAAUGGCAGAGGCCGAUACAGUUUGUUGCCAAGCAGCGUCCCAGGAGUUGCCAGUCAGCGUUGAACUCCAAGUAGAACUGCUUUGGGGGCUCCAGCUCCCGAUUUUUCCCUCGGGGUUUACUCCCGAAGCCUUCCCCACGAGUGGGUAUCACCGCAAGACAGUGGAAGUCUCCUUCUCCUCGGAGCCCAAACCGGCAGCUCACACUGAGAACAGAGAAAGCGUGAACCAGGGCAUUACAUACGUUUCGCCAUGUGGACAAGUGAAGGUGCCGCCAGAACAGAAAGCGCAAGGAGAUGAUCUUGUUGCGUUACUGAGAACCACUGCACUGUUUUGAUGAUCACUGUGCACCAGUGUUGCUUUGCUGCCUGCAAACUUCAUCAGACCCGUGUGCCAGAACGCACCAUUAGUGCAUCCCUGCACCCACUGUGCCCUGCUGGCCUGCUAUUCCCUGCUUGUACUUCAUUAGUGUGAACCCUACAGUUAUUUGUGCAAAUACAUUCUCAAUAAAGAGGCACAGGAAACACCUGGAAUCUGGAGCCAGAAAUUAUUGGAGGAACUCAGCAGUCAUUCAGCAUCUGUAGAGGCAGAGGAUUUCUGUUCCUGUUUACACAUCGUUAGACCACCUCUGCUGGGCGAUCCAUCCAUUCCUGAGAAUCAGAGACAGGCCUUUUGAUAUCGAUGUUAUCUACAAUCCUGAAGAUGUACCGGGCAGCGUUGAGGAAGGUGCUCCAUUAUUGAGGUGGGCCACUGAAGAAAUGCUGCUCUGUUGAAGGGCCUGUGAUAAAGGCGCUGUGGGGCCGCAGUGAGAGACUGCUGGGCUAUUGAAGGGACGGAACUAAGUUCGUGCUGCACACUGAACUACAGGCUCACUGCAGUAAUUGCAGAGUCAAUACGGAGAGUGUGGAUCCUCUAUACUGUCAGGGAGUCAAUACUGAGGGAGCAGUGCAUUGAAGGAAAGGGCAGUACUGCACUGUAUGCAGGGCAUUAGCCAGAGAGCUGCACACUACACUGUCUGUUGGUUAUUGGCGAGUGCACUGUUAGAAGUGCAGAGUUAAUGGACCACUCCGAGGAUUGUCAGCUUCUCGUGUUGGAGGGGCUUGUGAGCGAUGGCGUCCAGCCUUUAGCCAUCCGGCCUUUAGCUCCUGAUGGGGCCACCCAUGGCGGUAAGGUCAAGGAAGAGGUUCCAGGCGAGGAGAGGUCCAAUCCAGAUCUCAAUGGAGAUAGCAACAGAUGAUGCCAGAUCACAACGACAUUGAGGGUGGAGGGAGGCUGCAGCAGAGAAGGGUCCCUAGUCACUUUACUACCACUGGACCUAGAUUGCGGAGAAUGCCAGUGCAUCAGCCUCCCCAUGUUACACAAAGCCACGCACAGACCUUCGGAGAACAUCACACUCGACUCAAGUGAUCACACAACUACUACCAGUUAACUAAGAGGCUAAUGACUCAUCUGCCCUCUCCGUGCACAAUAAGGACCAAUAUUACAAGGAAGGGCAAGGAACAUCUCCCUGUAUCCUGGAGCCGAUAUUCAUCCCACAAGUGGCUCACUAAAACAAGGUUAUUUCAUCAGAGAGCUUGUUGUGUGUAAAGUGGCUACUGUCUUUUCUCUAUCCUAAAUUAACUGUACUUCAACGGCACCCCAUUGGCUAUAGUUAUUUUUGGAGCAUCCUGAUGAGAAAAGGUAAAUGACUGUGGUUAUGGAUUUCAUAGAGUGAUAGAGCAUGGAACAGGCCCUUCGGCCCAUCUGGUCUAUGCCAACCAACAUGCCAGUGUUUGGUAAAUACCCUUCUAAGCCUUUCCUAUCCAUGUACACGUCCAAAUGAAUUUUUAAAGUUCUUAUUGCACCUGCCUCAACGUCUUCCUCUGGCAGCUCAAAGUUCAAAGCACAUUUAUUAAAAAGUAUGUAUACGUUAUACAAUCUUGAUAUUCGUCUCCUUGCAGGCAGCCACAAAACAAAGUAACCCCAAAAGAAACUAUUUGUAAAAAAACCCGUCAAACACCUCAUGUGCAGAGGGAAAAAAAUCACGCAAGCAAUAAAAGUAAGCAAAUAGCGUUCAGAACUGAAGUUUUAUGAAAGACGGAAUGCCAAGAAUCACUGAAGCAGGCCACAGCCUCAGUUCAUCGCAGAGUCGAGUAAACGUCACGGGGCCACAGAUGCAAAGCCAGGCAUCAUUGCAAUGGCAGCCGGCCGCAGCCUCAGUGAAGUGCAGAGCUGAGCAAGUGUCCAUCCCUCACCUCUGGUCCCACCACCAUGACCUUUUCAAUCUGGCCUGGCACUUUAGUCGCCCAAGCAUCUGGCCAUUCCUCACUCGCGGACUGCUCCAGUGCUUGAUUCCCAUCGCCACAAUUCAGCUAGUAUCCAACCAUUCCAACUAAGCCCAGAUAUUCCUCGUUCCAACCUCUGCCACGCCUUACCUUCACCUCCGCUCACCUAGCCUUGCCUCCGACGGUGAUCGUUAUUAGUAAAGUGCUACUAAUUCACUCAUUCCACACACAUUGCACAUUUUAUUUAAUAAGGUUGUCCCUGAGGUUCCCAUUUUAUCUCUUCCCCUCUCACCUUACACCAGAAUCUUCUUGUCCUUGAUUCCCCAACCCAGGAAUAAGGACUGGGUGAAUUCACCCUGGCAGGAUUUUAGCCGUGUGGAGGAACGGAGGGAUCUUGGGUCCCCAUGUUCACAGACCCCUCAAAGUUGCCGUGCAUGUUGUUAGGGUUGUUAUGAAGGCAUGUGAUAUGUCACCUUUCAUUUGUCAGGGGAUUGAGUUCAAGAGCCAUGAGAUAGUGUUGCAGCUCUAUAAAUUUUAGACCAACACACCACAGUGAAUUUCUAUUGCAUGUAAACACAUAGGAUAAAUAAAGCUGAUCCUUGAAUAUUGUGCUCAGUUCUGGUCGCCUCAUUAUAGGAAGCAUGUGGAAGCUUUAGAGAUC